RNAcentral lists this ribosomal RNA (445 nucleotides) under uncultured bacterium. RNAcentral's name for it is "bacterial SSU rRNA". It matches the Rfam family "Bacterial small subunit ribosomal RNA", at positions 331 to 793 of the family's 1533-position model. The record is from RNAcentral.
CCAGACUCCUACGGGAGGCAGCAGUGGGGAAUAUUGGACAAUGGGGGGAACCCUGAUCCAGCGACGCCGCGUGAGUGAAGAAGUAUUUCGGUAUGUAAAGCUCUAUCAGCAGGGAAGAAAAUGACGGUACCUGAUUAAGAAGCCCCGGCUAACUACGUGCCAGCAGCCGCGGUAAUACGUAGGGGGCAAGCGUUAUCCGGAUUUAUUGGGUUUAAAGGGUGCGUAGGCGGUCCGUUAAGUCAGCGGUAAAAUUGCGGGGCUCAACCCCGUCGAGCCGUUGAAACUGGCAGACUUGAGUUGGCGAGAAGUACGCGGAAUGCGCGGUGUAGCGGUGAAAUGCAUAGAUAUCGCGCAGAACUCCGAUUGCGAAGGCAGCGUACCGGCGCCAGACUGACGCUGAGGCACGAAAGCGUGGGGAUCGAACAGGAUUAGAUACCCCAGUACG